Molecule: ribosomal RNA, 430 nt
Filed under: uncultured bacterium
Lineage: Bacteria
Description: bacterial SSU rRNA
Rfam family: Bacterial small subunit ribosomal RNA
Source: RNAcentral
ACGGGAGGCAGCAGUAGGGAAUCUUCGGCAAUGGACGAAAGUCUGACCGAGCAACGCCGCGUGAGUGAAGAAGGUUUUCGGAUCGUAAAACUCUGUUGUUAGAGAAGAACAAGGACGUUAGUAACUGAACGUCCCCUGACGGUAUCUAACCAGAAAGCCACGGCUAACUACGUGCCAGCAGCCGCGGUAAUACGUAGGUGGCAAGCGUUGUCCGGAUUUAUUGGGCGUAAAGCGAGCGCAGGCGGUUUCUUAAGUCUGAUGUGAAAGCCCCCGGCUCAACCGGGGAGGGUCAUUGGAAACUGGGAGACUUGAGUGCAGAAGAGGAGAGUGGAAUUCCAUGUGUAGCGGUGAAAUGCGUAGAUAUAUGGAGGAACACCAGUGGCGAAGGCGGCUCUCUGGUCUGUAACUGACGCUGAGGCUCGAAAGCGUG